RNAcentral lists this long non-coding RNA (585 nucleotides) under Helianthus annuus (common sunflower). RNAcentral's name for it is "sRNA HanXRQr2_Chr03g0090781". The record is from RNAcentral. Lineage: Eukaryota; Viridiplantae; Streptophyta; Magnoliopsida; Asterales; Asteraceae.
UAAAAUAAAAAACUGAAAAGCUUUUCUCACAAAUCUUGUGAAAAAUUACAUGAGUUGAUGCAAACAAGAGCAAAGAUUAAGGAAUUGUACAAUAUUCCAUAACACAUCAUGCUUUAUUGAAACAGAAAGAAAGCAUAUCAAAUAUCAUCAUCACUAAUCGGUGAAACCUUCUGCACCGGCAACGGGUAAUAAUCAGCAGCAUGUUUCCCCAAUGCCACCUUCACUGCAUCGGCUGCAUCUUCUCCAGUCACUACCAUUGCGAUAUGAUCAGCAGAAUUGAUCAAUGGUAAAGUGAAAGUGAUCCUAGGAGGUGGUGGUUUGGGUGAAUCUGUUAUGAAAGUCACCCAUUUUGUCUUCUCAAACCGCUGAAAAUACCAGCAGAAGAGCGAUGCAACGUGGCCUUCUGGACCCAUUCCGACUAACAUCAGGUCGAAUUUAGCAAAACCUGUAGUUGGUGAUGUUUUUAGUGUAUUGUUUGCUACCAAGUGUUUAAGCCGUUGCUCAUAUUCGUCCGCUGCUUCCUCGGGUGAUAGUUUUUCUUUGAUGGAGAAGAUGUUAGAUGCCGCUUGUCAAUUUGUAGCAUAA